GCUGUGUGUCUGCACCGAUAGCGUUCCGAAUUUUCCGCAUAGGGAAAAUGUUGAUUCGACGAUUGCCUUGGACGGCGAUUUGUUUUGCCGCAGCACUUCACUUCCGUUUCGGCGCUACCAAUGGACUUCCCAUUAGCAUUCGCAAGCAGCUUCCCUCUUCUCUCUUCUCCUUCUUCUGCUCCAGCUCCCUCUGCUACCUGUAAUUUCAUGUUCAUGCCAUGCCUAGGUUCAUUUCACUUUCGGUACAUAUUUAGUCUCUUGGCGCCACCAUAAGAGGCUGAGGAGUUGUGUACCAUUCCCUUCUUGUUGGGUCCACUCGUCCAAGUCCCAUUAACUUGGAUGUUGAACCACCUGAUUCCAAUACGAGUUAACAUAUAACUCGUACUAGACCUAAAAAGUGGAGACAUUAUACUUUCUUCGAGGCAUGACCUUGUGGCGACAGAAACAAUUAUAAUAUUCCUUGCAUCACUCACCCAAUUUGAAUUUCAAUUUUCAACUCGUAGGGUCACCAAAAGGAUACACCUCACUCGCACUCUCUGAAACCCGGUCUUUACCUCGUUGGAACACCAAUCGGAAAUCUCGAAGAUAUCACUCUGAGGGCUAUUCGCGUGCUGAACUCGGCUGACGUCAUACUCUCAGAGGACACGAGGCACUCGGGGAAGUUGCUUCAUCACUAUCACAUCAAAACACCCCUUCUCUUCAGAUGAGUUAUCACAAGUUCAAUGAAUCGCAAAGGGAACAGGUUGUGCUGAGGAGGUUGAAGCAGGGUGAGAUUGUGGCUCUCAUAAGUGAUGCUGGAAUGCCAGGCAUCAGUGAUCCCGGUAUGGAGUUGGCCAAACUGUGUGUGAGUGAGAAUAUCCUGGUUGUUCCAAUCCCUGGUCCCUGUGCUUUGGUAUCAGCUCUUUCUGCCUCGGGUUUAACUACUGAUGAAUUUACAUUUGUUGGUUUUCUUCCUAAACAUUCGGAAUUGAGAAGAAAAAGGCUCAUGGUUUCAGCUGAUCAAACUACAACUCAAAUAUUUUAUGUUGCUCCUCACAAGCUUUCUCAGUUCCUUGAUGAGAGUUCUUCAAUUUUUGGUGAUGCAAGGCAAUGUGUUAUUGCUCGGGAAAUGACUAAGUUACAUGAAGAGGGGUGAUGCUAAGGAUGUUUGAUUUUGCGUUUGUGGCUUUGAGUGUAGAAGCGGGCUUUAUGAAACUUAAUAGCAACCUAUCAGUAUGCUUUUGUUUUGUAGAAUUUUGUUAAUAGUUUGCUUAAUCAAUAUGCAUAAUUCUUGUUCUCAUAUGAUAUUUUUAUUUAACUACACCUACAUCCUUUUGUAGAGUAAACAUCGUGUUCUGACUAACGGCCCUUUUUCUUCUUUUUUUUGGGGUUGCACGCUCUUGAAUUCUAGCGGGAUGACACCUUGGAGGAAAAUGCUAGUAGAGUAAAAGCCAUUAAAUGCAUUAAGCCUGCUUAUGCAGUACCAUUACACGUAGUUGGUCGAAUGGAUCUUGCCGGUGCUGUCUUUUGGUUAGUAUAAAAGGUGAGGAGUGGAGAGGAGACAUCCCUACCAUUCGAGGAGUGGGUCCCUAUGGAAGAUCUUCUGACACCAGAAUCUCUCCAGUUGGAUGAUCAUGGCCAUCCAUUUUGUUUGCUUCUGGUCAAGAAAUAAUAAACGUGGCACUUCCUAGCUGGCUUUGAUGCAGAUUUUCAUCUGCUAUGUUGGCUACAAUACAACCCUCGUGUGUCUUCCAUGUCUUUCCACUACAUGCACCUCACUGUGCUUCUUGUUCUUUUCAUAUUUUUUAUUUUCACUUAAUUGGAUUAAGCAUUCUUAAUUUAAGUUAUCUAUAGCUAAUAUUUUAUUGAGAUGUAAAUUUUAAUUUAUAAAAAUAAAUUAAUUCAUUUUAGUUUU
RNA transcript from Glycine soja, 1894 nucleotides. It is a transcript of the gene named ribosomal RNA small subunit methyltransferase I-like, with no coding region annotated. The record is from RefSeq and is a predicted model, not a curated record. The transcript has 8 exons. NCBI's taxonomy places the organism in Eukaryota, Viridiplantae, Streptophyta, Magnoliopsida, Fabales, Fabaceae.